UACGUAGGGUGCGAGCGUUGUCCGGAAUUAUUGGGCGUAAAGGGCUCGUAGGCGGUUUGUCACGUCAGGAGUGAAAACUCGGGGCUCAACCCCGAGCCUGCUUCUGAUACGGGCAGACUGGAGGUAUGCAGGGGAGAACGGAAUUCCUGGUGUAGCGGUGAAAUGCGCAGAUAUCAGGAGGAACACCGGUGGCGAAGGCGGUUCUCUGGGCAUUACCUGACGCUGAGGAGCGAAAGUGUGGGGAGCGAACAGG
RNAcentral lists this ribosomal RNA (253 nucleotides) under uncultured bacterium. Its description in RNAcentral is "partial 16S ribosomal RNA". It matches the Rfam family "Bacterial small subunit ribosomal RNA", at positions 524 to 776 of the family's 1533-position model. The record is from RNAcentral.